GAGUGUUUGGAUUAUAUUACCUACCAAAAAUAAUUUUGUUUUAAAGUACAGUGUGUGAAAACUUUUAAUAUUAUCCUUAAGUAUUACUAGGUUGUUUUAGACACUUUCUCUGGAGUCACUUUUGCAAGCUUUAUCUCUAUUAAUGUUUAAAGCCUUCAAUCUAAUUAACCCAUGCACACUAUAAUUUUAAUUCAAAAAGAAAAGUGAACUUUGACCCAACUUCAGAUGUUAAGUGUGUAUCUAGCCUCCAUACCAGCCCAUAGCAUAUUUGUUAUCAUUUGUCUUUACUCUUCAUUAUAAGAAAGGUAAACAAAAAGGAGAGAACGGGGAAAAGGUCAAGAAAAAAAACAGAAAAGAAUUGAUUAUCCUUUCAAUAAUGGGAACUGAAAGUCAUCUGUUAAAUAUAGCCCCUACAUUCAUGGUGAUUCAACAUCCCAGGCUCCAUUCUAUGAUUUCUGCCUUACUGUACAAUUUUCUCCUUUGACAAAAAAUUCUCUUUGAGUAUUGCGAUGACUCAAGACCCUCAGCUGUGAUCACCACUUUUUCUCCUUCUAGGGAAAUUCGCAAAGAUAAAAAGCCAGAGUCUCACUUUUAUGAGCCAAAUUCACCUCUAGAAAUGAGGCUGCAUGCCACAGAGAGAAAGCCAGUACAGCAUGUGUACAGGAU
RNAcentral lists this long non-coding RNA (666 nucleotides) under Bos taurus (domestic cattle). RNAcentral's name for it is "long non-coding RNA NONBTAT024102". Lineage: Eukaryota; Metazoa; Chordata; Mammalia; Artiodactyla; Bovidae. The record is from RNAcentral.